UUCAUUGUCUUCUACAGUAGAGCGGGACAUUUGAUUUACUCUCAGCGGAAUUGACCGGAGAAGGCAUCAGUUCAUGCACUGCACUGGCCUGCACCACGAUUAGUAUAAGGCACAUUUCACGAAGCAGAACGCAGUCUUCAGAGAUAUCCACGUGAACGCUGUGAUACGUCUGACCUUCAGUCCGAAGAAGAAACCCAGACCAGUCUUAAAAGAAAGCACAAACCAAAUCCCCUGUACACAUAUACGGACUCAGAGGAUGAGCAGCCC
Molecule: long non-coding RNA, 267 nt
Organism: Pelmatolapia mariae (spotted tilapia)
Lineage: Eukaryota; Metazoa; Chordata; Actinopteri; Cichliformes; Cichlidae
Exons: 3
Source: RefSeq, a predicted model, not a curated record